Long non-coding RNA from Acromyrmex echinatior (Panamanian leafcutter ant), 475 nucleotides. The record is from RefSeq and is a predicted model, not a curated record. Lineage: Eukaryota; Metazoa; Arthropoda; Insecta; Hymenoptera; Formicidae.
AGCGUGAGCGGCCAAAGCGGAUGUAUCUACGAUUAUUAUAUAUUCCAUAGGUAGGCUGGGAUUGAUAGUUGCAACAUAUACGGGUACUAAGGUUUCUGACUUGGAAGAUCUAAGCCGUCCAAAGUAUCGAAAUUUCAAUCAGUGCAAUUAAGUGCAAUAUAGUCUUUUUCUUGCAAAGAAUUCGAGAUUUCAAGAACAGCUAGCUAAUUCGUCAAAGCUAUAUCAGUUCUUUGGCAUAAAUUCGCUGCAUCAAUAAACAUUCGGCGCUGCAACCGAGCACAGCACGCGACACAGGAGGCCCGUAUCAGUCACUGGCUGAACAAAAAUCAAAAAGACAACAUCUUUUCCAGGAGGAUUCCCUGUGUGGUUCCGGAAUAGGUGAUUACAUAAUAUGAGCAGUCAAGGACUAAUUCAUAUGGUAUCGCAAUUUAAGUUCCGUUCGAGCACGGCCAAUUUCGAGGAAUUGAAGGGGAAU